AGAAGACCCAUCCUUCAUACCGCUUCUCACAUUCAUACGUGCAGUAAUGGCGGCCAUGGUGGCGGUUAAUGGUCAUGUUAUAUAAAAUGGAGAAGAGAAAGUAUGCUCUGCAUAUGGGUGCCUGUUAUCAGAGUUCUGGUAUGGUGAGGAAGAAUUGGGAUAUCCUGCAAUUCAGAAAGUAGUGCGUCAGUGUCUUCGGAUGGCUGGAACGGAAUUUUCAAACUCCCAGAAUGCUGGGAGAAAUGUGUACAAAGAAG
This is a long non-coding RNA of Cryptotermes secundus, 257 nucleotides long. RefSeq lists it as uncharacterized. NCBI's taxonomy places the organism in Eukaryota, Metazoa, Arthropoda, Insecta, Blattodea, Kalotermitidae. The record is from RefSeq and is a predicted model, not a curated record. The transcript is spliced from 3 exons.